UAUCUCUGUAGAGUCUGCAUAUCAAUAAGCGGAGGAAAAGAAACUAACAAGGAUUCCCUUAGUAACGGACGAGUGAAGCGGGAAGAGCUCAAAUUUGAAAUCUUCAAGGUUUUACCUUGACGAAUUGUAGUUUAAAGAAGUGUUUUCUGUUGAAGUUUCGGUAAAAGUUCUUUGGAAUAGGACAUCAUAGAGGGUGAGAAUCCCGUAUUUGAUCGUUAUUUUCAGCUGUGUGAUACACUUUCAAAGAGUCGGAUUGUUUGGGAAUGCAGUCCAAAAUGGGUGGUAAAUUUCAUCUAAAGCUAAAUACUGGCGAGAGACCGAUAGCGAACAAGUACCGUGAGGGAAAGAUGAAAAGAACUUUGAAAGGAGAGUUAAACAGUACGUGAAAUUGUCAAAAGGGAAGCGUUUGACACCAGUGUUGUUUUCUCGAAAAUCAAUUAAAAAUGACUGGAUUUUGUGUUGUAUUGACCUUAUAAGCUUUCUGCACUUUUUUCAUGUCUUUUUUAAUGCACUUUUCGUUUAACAAGUCAACAUCAAUUUCUUUUGUUGUAAAAGGGUCAUUGGAAGGUGGCUUUCUUUUCGGAGAAAGUGUUUAUAGCCUUUUAUCUCCUGCAGUCGGAGAGACUGAGGUCUGCAGCGUAGAUCCUUCUGGGAUUAGAUUACAUUGUGCUAAGUUAUAGCCUUUCAUAGACAACUUGUUGACUAUGAUUUAGUCAUGUAGCUUACUCGCUUAUGAUAUUUUACCUACGCUUAGGAUGUUGAGUCAUCACACAUCUCU
This 778-nucleotide ribosomal RNA is filed under the name uncultured Neocallimastigales. Its description in RNAcentral is "partial large subunit ribosomal RNA". It matches the Rfam family "Eukaryotic large subunit ribosomal RNA", at positions 24 to 614 of the family's 3401-position model. Lineage: Eukaryota; Fungi; Neocallimastigomycota; Neocallimastigomycetes; Neocallimastigales. The record is from RNAcentral.